GUCACGCGUGGAAAAUAGUUGCGGAACACGAAGCCGCGACAUUGGUCGAUGAGGUGGAACAGAGGGUUCCAGUCAAACAUCUUCAGCAUAAAGGGAGGCAACGCGUUGGCAACGAACAUCUUGCCCGAGAAGACCAUGUUCAUCCGCCG
RNAcentral lists this non-coding RNA (149 nucleotides) under Ruegeria marisrubri. Its description in RNAcentral is "Ruegeria sp. ZGT118 Ruegeria cis2 sRNA". It matches the Rfam family "Ruegeria cis2 sRNA". Rfam says of the family: Cis-encoded. The record is from Rfam by way of RNAcentral. Lineage: Bacteria; Pseudomonadati; Pseudomonadota; Alphaproteobacteria; Rhodobacterales; Roseobacteraceae.